GCCAGGUGCAGUGGCUCGCGCCUGUAAUCCCAGCACUUUGGGAGGCUGAGGUGGGAGGAUCACUUGAGCCCAGGAGUUUGAGACCAGCCUGGGCAACAGAGUGAAACCCCAUCUCUU
Molecule: non-coding RNA, 117 nt
Filed under: Gorilla gorilla gorilla (western lowland gorilla)
Lineage: Eukaryota; Metazoa; Chordata; Mammalia; Primates; Hominidae
Source: Rfam by way of RNAcentral